AGGGGUAUAGCUCAGCUGGUAGAGCAUCGGUCUCCAAAACCGAGGGUCGGGGGUUCGAGUCCCUCUGCCCCUGCCA
Molecule: transfer RNA, 76 nt
Filed under: Amphiplicatus metriothermophilus
Lineage: Bacteria; Pseudomonadati; Pseudomonadota; Alphaproteobacteria; Parvularculales; Parvularculaceae
Also listed under: 3 other names
Description: tRNA-Trp
Rfam family: tRNA
About the family: Transfer RNA (tRNA) molecules are approximately 80 nucleotides in length.
Source: RNAcentral